ACAAUUAGCUGUUGGGACACUAGAUGUCUUAGUAGCGAAGCUAACGCGUGAAAUUGUCCGCCUGGGGAGUACGGUCGCAAGAUUAAAACUCAAAUGAAUUGACGGGGACCCGCACAAGCGGUGGAUGAUGUGGAUUAAUUCGAUGCAACGCGAAGAACCUUACCUGGUCUUGACAUGUACGGAAUCUCUUAGAGAUAGGAGAGUGCCUUCGGGAACCGUAACACAGGUGCUGCAUGGCUGUCGUCAGCUCGUGUCGUGAGAUGUUGGGUUAAGUCCCGCAACGAGCGCAACCCUUGUCAUUAGUUGCCAUCAUUAAGUUGGGCACUCUAAUGAGACUGCCGGUGAUAUGCCGGAGGAAGGUGGGGAUGACGUCAAGUCCUCAUGGCCCUUAUGACCAGGGCUUCACACGUCAUACAACGGUCGGUACAGAGGGUAGCGAAGCCGCGAGGUGAAGCCAAUCUCAGAAAGCCGAUCGUAGUCCGGAUUGCACUCUGCAACUCGAGUGCAUGAAGUCGGAAUCGCUAGUAAUCGCAGGUCAGCAUACUGCGGUGAAUACGUUCCCGGGUCU
This 568-nucleotide ribosomal RNA is filed under the name uncultured Neisseriaceae bacterium. RNAcentral describes it as "bacterial SSU rRNA". It matches the Rfam family "Bacterial small subunit ribosomal RNA", at positions 812 to 1381 of the family's 1533-position model. The record is from RNAcentral. Lineage: Bacteria; Pseudomonadati; Pseudomonadota; Betaproteobacteria; Neisseriales; Neisseriaceae.